GAUUAUGGCUCAGGACGAACGCUGGCGGCGUGCUUAACACAUGCAAGUCGAGCGAUGAAGCUUCUUCGGAAGUGGAUUAGCGGCGGACGGGUGAGUAACACGUGGGUAACCUGCCUCAUAGAGGGGAAUAGCCUUCCGAAAGGAAGAUUAAUACCGCAUAAGAUUGUAAUAUCGCAUGAUAUAGCAAUUAAAGGAGUAAUCCGCUAUGAGAUGGACCCGCGUCGCAUUAGCUAGUUGGUGAGGUAACGGCUCACCAAGGCGACGAUGCGUAGCCGACCUGAGAGGGUGAUCGGCCACAUUGGGACUGAGACACGGCCCAGACUCCUACGGGAGGCAGCAGUGGGGAAUAUUGCACAAUGGGGGAAACCCUGAUGCAGACCAACGCCGCGUGAGUGAUGACGGUCUUCGGAUUGUAAAGCUCUGUCUUCAGGGACGAUAAUGACGGUACCUGAGGAGGAAGCCACGGCUAACUACGUGCCAGCAGCGGC
Molecule: ribosomal RNA, 488 nt
Filed under: uncultured bacterium
Lineage: Bacteria
Description: bacterial SSU rRNA
Rfam family: Bacterial small subunit ribosomal RNA
Source: RNAcentral